This 350-nucleotide ribosomal RNA is filed under the name uncultured bacterium. Its description in RNAcentral is "bacterial SSU rRNA". It matches the Rfam family "Bacterial small subunit ribosomal RNA", at positions 8 to 350 of the family's 1533-position model. The record is from RNAcentral.
AGAGUUUGAUCAUGGCUCAGGAUGAACGCUGGCGGCGUGCCUAACACAUGCAAGUCGAACGGACUUUUUCAUGAAGCCUAGCGAUUGAAAAGUUAGUGGCGGACGGGUGAGUAACGCGUGGGUAACCUGCCUUGUACUGGGGGACAACAGUUGGAAACGACUGCUAAUACCGCAUAAGCGCACAGCUUCGCAUGAAGCAGUGUGAAAAACUCCGGUGGUACAAGAUGGACCCGCGUCUGAUUAGCUGGUUGGUGAGGUAACGGCCCACCAAGGCGACGAUCAGUAGCCGGCUGAGAGGGUGAACGGCCACAUUGGGACUGAGACACGGCCCAAACGUCCUACGGGAGGCA